This 207-nucleotide ribosomal RNA is filed under the name uncultured Latescibacterota bacterium. RNAcentral describes it as "uncultured Latescibacteria bacterium partial 16S ribosomal RNA". It matches the Rfam family "Bacterial small subunit ribosomal RNA", at positions 568 to 774 of the family's 1533-position model. The record is from RNAcentral. Lineage: Bacteria; Pseudomonadati; Candidatus Latescibacterota.
CGUGUAGGCGGUCAGGUAAGUGGAAUGUGAAAUGCCCCGGCUCACCCGGGGACCGGCAUCCCAAACUGCCUGGCUUGAGUAUGGGAGAGGAUGGAGGAAUUCCUGGUGUAGCGGUGAAAUGCGUAGAUAUCAGGAGGAACACCGGUGGCGAGGGCGUCCAUCCGGCCCAAUACUGACGCUGAGGCGCGAAAGCUAGGGGAGCAAACG